CAAUAGCGUAUAUUAAAGUUGUUGCAGUUAAAAGCUCGUAGUCGGAUUUCGGGUCGGGCCGAGCGGUCUGCCGAUGGGUAUGCACUGUUUGGCGCGGCCUUCUUUCCGGAGACCGCGGCUACUCUUAACUGAGCGGGCGUGGGAGACGGAUCGUUUACUUUGAAAAAUCAGAGUGUUUCUAGCAGGCAGCUCGCUCUUGCAUAGGUUAGCAUGGAAUAAUAGAAUAGGACUUUGGUUCUAUUUUGUUGGUUUCUAGGACCGAAGUAAUGAUUAAUAGGGACAGUUGGGGGCAUUUUUAUUCCAUUGUCAGAGGUGAAAUUCUUGGAUUAACGGAAGAAAACUACUGCGAAAGCAUCUGCCAAGGAUGUUUUCAUUGAUCAAGAACGAAAGUUAGGGGAUCGAAGACGAUUAGAUACC
This 417-nucleotide ribosomal RNA is filed under the name uncultured eukaryote. RNAcentral's name for it is "bacterial SSU rRNA". It matches the Rfam family "Eukaryotic small subunit ribosomal RNA", at positions 592 to 1016 of the family's 1831-position model. The record is from RNAcentral.